This 225-nucleotide long non-coding RNA is filed under the name Trifolium pratense (red clover). Its description in RNAcentral is "long non-coding RNA (TPRA_LNC013404)". Lineage: Eukaryota; Viridiplantae; Streptophyta; Magnoliopsida; Fabales; Fabaceae. The record is from RNAcentral.
UCGGUUGAGAGAUGGUCUGACUAAGUGUUUAUAAACUAGAGGCAAUUCUCACCUUACAAGCCGGUUUUGUAAGGUUGAGUUAGACCCAAUACUCAAUUCUAAGAUGGUAUCAUAGCCUCUCCACGAUCCGUUGGGCCACCUGUUAUCAGGUUUCCGCUAUCGGACCACCUACCGUUUAUAUCCACGCACCAAGCCCAAUAGUGCUGGGCGUGAGGGGGUGUGNNN